Molecule: ribosomal RNA, 466 nt
Filed under: uncultured bacterium
Lineage: Bacteria
Description: partial 16S ribosomal RNA
Rfam family: Bacterial small subunit ribosomal RNA
Source: RNAcentral
CUACGGGGGGCUGCAGUGGGGAAUAUUGGACAAUGGGGGAAACCCUGAUCCAGCAAUGCCGCGUGUGUGAAGAAGGCCUGCGGGUUGUAAAGCACUUUCGGUUGGGAGGACUGCUUCUAGCACUAAUAUUGUUGGAAGUUGACGUUACCUUCAGAAGAAGCACCGGCUAACUCCGUGCCAGCAGCGCGCGGUAAUACGGAGGGUGCAAGCGUUAAUCGGAAUUACUGGGCGUAAAGCGCGCGUAGGCGGCUAGAUCCGUCGGGUGUGAAAGCCCCGGGCUUAACCUGGGAACUGCAUCCGAUACUGGCUAGCUUGAGUACAGGAGAGGAGAGUGGAAUUCCACAUGUAGCGGUGAAAUGCGUAGAUAUGUGGAGGAACACCAAUGGCGAAGGCAGCUCUCUGGCCUGAUACUGACGCUGAGGUGCGAAAGCGUGGGGAGCAAACAGGAUUAGAUACCCCCGUAGUC